GACGUCAGGGCCCUCGGGCCCCGCCCCCCAGCAGGCCGAGGACCAAUCCGCAGAGGGUGCAGGGUCUGAGGGGAGGGGCAGAGCCCGGGCCCCACGGAGGGCGGAGGGGGUACCCGGGAGAAGCAGAGAUUGGAAGGAGGAGCAGGGGGCCUGCCCUCCACCCCCACACUCUGGGCCCGAGACUCCUCGCUCCUCCUCGCCUCGCCUCGCCUCGAGUCUCUGGCUCCGACCUCUCUACUCCCUUGUUUCUGACCUGUGCUCCGUGGUGUCUCUGAUCUCCCCCUGCCGCCAGGGGAAAGGAGGAACAUCCCUCCCAGGACUCACUCACACCUAUUCUCCAACUCUGCCUACCUGCUCAAUUCACCUGAUGCUCUGCCAGUGGAUUGCUGAUGUCUCUACAUUGAUUCAGAUUUGCACCCACAUCUGAAAAUGGUCAGCAGGCAGGGACCCUCUGUCACCACAGGUGGAGGAAGAGGAGAUGAAAGAGCCUUGUCUGACACCCUGGAGACUGGGAAACUACCCAGACUGUGUCCUCUCCCUCUUACUCUCCUAAAGGAAGACAAGGAAGACAAUGACAAAUGGCGUUUGCAGCAAAGCAACACCAACAGCCAACUUGAUGCUCAAGAGAGAACGCUAUGCCUCUUCCUCAUGGUUUCCAGUGCUCUACACAUUCUGAGAAACUUUUCUGGUUCUACUUCUGGAGGGAACCCAAACCAACACAUUUGAUAUCCAAAGUUGUCCUAGGAAGUAGACCCCCAGGAUAAGAUUCUGGUUUUGGAUCACUCAUCAUCCAGAUGGCCCAAAGAUUCCAUUGCUGAGGGUCUCACUCUGUUGCCCAGGCUGGAGUGCACUGGCGCAAUCACGGCUCACUUCAGCCUCAACCUCCCAGGCUCAAGAGAUCCUCUGCUCUCUGCCUUCCAAGUAGCUGAGACUACAGCCACACACCAUCAUGCCCAGCUAAUUUUUUUUUUUUGGAGACAAAGUCUUGCUCUAUCGCCAGGCUGGAGUGCAGUGGUGUGAUCUCAGCUCACUGCAACCUCCACCUCCCAGGUUCAAGUGAUUCUCCUGCCUCAGCCUCCCGAGUAGCUGGGACUACAGGUGCGUGCCACCACGCCCAGCUAAUUUUUGUAUUUUUAGUAGAGACGGGGUUUCACCACGUUGGCCAAGAUGGUCUUGAUCUCUUGACCUCGUGAUCCCCCCACCUCGGCCUCCCAGAGUACUGAAAUUAUAGGCUUGAGCCACUGCGCCCGGCCAAGCCCAGCUGAUUUUUAAAUUUUUUGUAGAGACAGUGUCUCACUAUGUUGCUCAGCUGGUCUCGACCUCCUAGGCUCAAGCAGUCCUCCCACCUCAGCCUCCCAAAGUGCUGGGAUUAUAGGCAUGAGUCACUGCACCAGGACCUGACUUUCUUUUUCACACCCCAAGACAGAGAAUCCAUUAUCAUCCUAAGAAUCUUAUUUCCUUUGAGUGGAAAAGUAUUAGAGAUUAAAAUCUGGAUGUGGGGCCACAUUUAGUGUGGUCAGUGGCCUCCAGUGGCGAAGAGUCCUGGUGUGAGCAAACACCCCCAUGGUGAGGUCCUGCAAAUCCAGGGCCUGCUGGGCAGAUGAGGCAGAAGACAGAGGUAUUUAUACGUCACAGCUACUGGCAGUCCUUCAUGGCAUCUACCCUCCAGGCCUUCCUGACUGAGAUGAAGAAGGAAUGGCAGGAGCCACCAAACCGCCGGCUCAUUUCAUCAUUGACACACCUGCUACAGGCUUCCAGCAUGUUUACCUCUCUGCUAAAUCACAGGAGGAAAUCCAUACUAAUUCCUGGGGUUUGCUGGCCAAAAUGAUGUGUAACUUGGUGCAUGAAUGGCUCCUACAGGCUCUGGGCUGCUGCUUCUCUCUGCACAGACCCAGGAUUAGGUGUGUUUACUCUCCCCUAGGCUUGGAGGCUUCCAGGUCCCUCAGCUUUGGUUUCAAACUUCUGUAUCCCAGGUGCCUAGCACAGUGCCUGACACAUGGGUGGUGCAGAGUGGGUUCAAAAUAAAUGUUUGUAGAUUGACUACCUGAAUGAAUAAAUGAACCAACUUCCCCCAUCUUCUCAAAGUGGAGGCUA
This 2094-nucleotide long non-coding RNA is filed under the name Homo sapiens (human). RNAcentral's name for it is "HSALNT0390027". The record is from RNAcentral. Lineage: Eukaryota; Metazoa; Chordata; Mammalia; Primates; Hominidae.